Molecule: ribosomal RNA, 303 nt
Filed under: uncultured bacterium
Lineage: Bacteria
Description: partial 16S ribosomal RNA
Rfam family: Bacterial small subunit ribosomal RNA
Source: RNAcentral
AGCAGCAGCCGCGGUAAUACAGAGGGUGCAAGCGUUAAUCGGAAUUACUGGGCGUAAAGCGCGCGUAGGUGGUUUGUUAAGUUGGAUGUGAAAGCCCCGGGCUCAACCUGGGAACUGCAUCCAAAACUGGCAAGCUAGAGUACGGUAGAGGGUGGUGGAAUUUCCUGUGUAGCGGUGAAAUGCGUAGAUAUAGGAAGGAACACCAGUGGCGAAGGCGACCACCUGGACUGAUACUGACACUGAGGUGCGAAAGCGUGGGGAGCAAACAGGAUUAGAUACCCCUGUAGUCCCUGUCUCUUAUAC